RNAcentral lists this ribosomal RNA (406 nucleotides) under uncultured bacterium. RNAcentral's name for it is "partial 16S ribosomal RNA". It matches the Rfam family "Bacterial small subunit ribosomal RNA", at positions 29 to 526 of the family's 1533-position model. The record is from RNAcentral.
AUUGAACGCUGGCGGUAGGCCUAACACAUGCAAGUCGAACGAGUGGCGGACGGGUGAGUAAUGUCUGGGAAACUGCCCGAUGGAGGGGGAUAACUACUGGAAACGGUAGCUAAUACCGCAUACCAUCGGAUGUGCCCAGAUGGGAUUGGCUAGUAGGGGGGGUAACGGCUCACCUGGGCGACGAUCCCUAGCUGGUCUGAGAGGAGGACCAGCCAAACUGGAACUGAGAAACGGUCAAGACGCCUAGGGGAGGCAGAAGGGGGAAAUAUUGCACAAUGGGCGCAAGCCUGAUGCAGCCAGGCCGCGUGUAUGAAGAAGGCCUUCGGGUUGUAAAGUACUUUCAGAGAGGAGGCGUUACUCGCAGAAGAAGCACCGGCUAACUCCGUGCCAGCCGCCGCGGUAAUUC